RNAcentral lists this ribosomal RNA (426 nucleotides) under uncultured bacterium. RNAcentral describes it as "bacterial SSU rRNA". It matches the Rfam family "Bacterial small subunit ribosomal RNA", at positions 356 to 773 of the family's 1533-position model. The record is from RNAcentral.
AGGGAAUCUUCCGCAAUGGACGAAAGUCUGACGGAGCAACGCCGCGUGAGUGAAGAAGGUCUUCGGAUCGUAAAACUCUGUUGUUAGGGAAGAACAAGUAUCGUUCGAAUAGGGCGGUACCUUGACGGUACCUAACCAGAAAGCCACGGCUAACUACGUGCCAGCAGCCGCGGUAAUACGUAGGUGGCAAGCGUUGUCCGGAAUUAUUGGGCGUAAAGCGCGCGCAGGCGGUCUUUUAAGUCUGAUGUGAAAGCCCCCGGCUCAACCGGGGAGGGUCAUUGGAAACUGGGGAACUUGAGUGCAGAAGAGGAGAGUGGAAUUCCACGUGUAGCGGUGAAAUGCGUAGAGAUGUGGAGGAACACCAGUGGCGAAGGCGACUCUCUGGUCUGUAACUGACGCUGAGGCGCGAAAGCGUGGGGAGCGAAC